GACGAACGCUGGCGGCGUGCCUAAUACAUGCAAGUUGAGCGCUGAAGGUUGGUACUUGUACUUACUGUAUGAGCAGCGAACGGGUGAGUAACUCGUGGGUAAUCUGCUUUUGAGCGGGGGACAACUUUUGGAAACGAAUGCUAAUACCGCAUAAAAACUUUAAACACAAGUUUUAAGUUUGAAAGAUGCAAUUUCUUCACUCAAAGUUGAUCUCGCGUUGUAUUAGUUAGUUGGUGAGGUAAAGGCACACCAAGGCGAUGAUACAUAGCCUACCUGAGAGGGGGAGCGGACACAUUGGGACGGAGACACGGCCCAGACUAAUACGGGAGGCAGCAGUAGGGAAUCUUAGGCAAGGGACGAGAGGAUGACCGAGCAAAGCCGCGUGGGGGGAGAAGGUAUUCGGAUCGGAAAACUAUGUUGGUAGAGAAGAAGGGUAGGGAGAGUGGAGAGAUCAUAAAGUGAAAGUAACUACACAGAAAGGGACGGCUAACUACGUG
RNAcentral lists this ribosomal RNA (497 nucleotides) under uncultured bacterium. RNAcentral describes it as "partial 16S ribosomal RNA". It matches the Rfam family "Bacterial small subunit ribosomal RNA", at positions 28 to 507 of the family's 1533-position model. The record is from RNAcentral.